AUGGCCGAGCUUGGCGUCCACCAUGACCCACUUGGAUCGAAUAUUGUCGGCCCUCUUCCCGGUGCUCGAGAUCGAGUUGGCCUUGCCGGAUGCGACGAAGUUAGCGCAUCCAGAGAUGUGGCCCUCGCUGACGUGGAGGAAGAAGAAAUGGCGCAGGAGCGCCACGGACGGCAUCACGCCCUAGUACGCCUCACAGUAGUAGGCAAAGAUGGAAAGGAGGAGGACAGAGUUGGGAUGGAGGUGCAACGCUUGCAACCCAUAGUGGUCGAGGACUUCAUAAAAGAAAUCAGAGAAGGGAGGAACCAACCUGACAGCAACGCCGCUCGAAAAGAAGGGGAAGAAGGAUCCCCUCAGGCUCCGGCUUGUCGGAGGCAAGCCGGAGCUCCGUCUUCCCCCACUCGUUGCUCUCUCCCGCCGUCAGCAGGUGCACCGAGGCAAGGCUCUUCUCCAUGA
RNAcentral lists this ribosomal RNA (453 nucleotides) under Triticum aestivum (bread wheat). Its description in RNAcentral is "partial small subunit ribosomal RNA". Lineage: Eukaryota; Viridiplantae; Streptophyta; Magnoliopsida; Poales; Poaceae. The record is from RNAcentral.